CCUACGGGGGGCUGCAGUGAGGAAUAUUGGUCAAUGGGCGAGAGCCUGAACCAGCCAAGUCGCGUGAAGGAUGACGGCCCUACGGGUUGUAAACUUCUUUUGUCAGGGAGCAAUUGAGUCCACGUGUGGUCUUAGCGAGAGUACCUGAAGAAAAAGCAUCGGCUAACUCCGUGCCAGCAGCCGCGGUAAUACGGAGGAUGCGAGCGUUAUCCGGAUUUAUUGGGUUUAAAGGGUGCGUAGGCGGAAUAUCAAGUCAGCGGUAAAAAUUCGGGGCUCAACCCCGUCGUGCCGUUGAAACUGAUGUUCUUGAGUGGGCGAGAAGUAUGCGGAAUGCGUGGUGUAGCGGUGAAAUGCAUAGUUAUCACGCAGAACUCCGAUUGCGAAGGCAGCAUACCGGCGCCCAAGUGACGCUGAGGCACGAAAGCGUUGGGAUAGAACAGGAUUAGAUGCCCGUGUAGUG
This 460-nucleotide ribosomal RNA is filed under the name uncultured bacterium. Its description in RNAcentral is "partial 16S ribosomal RNA". It matches the Rfam family "Bacterial small subunit ribosomal RNA", at positions 338 to 796 of the family's 1533-position model. The record is from RNAcentral.